RNAcentral lists this ribosomal RNA (433 nucleotides) under uncultured bacterium. RNAcentral describes it as "partial 16S ribosomal RNA". It matches the Rfam family "Bacterial small subunit ribosomal RNA", at positions 29 to 507 of the family's 1533-position model. The record is from RNAcentral.
AACGAACGCUGGCGGCAUGCCUAAUACAUGCAAGUCGAACGAGACCUUCGGGUCUAGUGGCGCACGGGUGCGUAACGCGUGGGAACCUGCCCUUAGGUUCGGAAUAACUCCCCGAAAGGGGUGCUAAUACCGGAUAAUGUCUUCGGACCAAAGAUUUAUCGCCUUUGGAUGGGCCCGCGUUGGAUUAGCUAGUUGGUAGGGUAAAAGCCUACCAAGGCGACGAUCCAUAGCUGGUCUGAGAGGAUGAUCAGCCACACUGGGACUGAGACACGGCCCAGACUCCUACGGGAAGCAGCAGUGGGGAAUAUUGGACAAUGGGCGAAAGCCUGAUCCAGCAAUGCCGCGUGAGUGAUGAAGGCCUUAGGGUUGUAAAGCUCUUUUACCCGGGAUGAUAAUGACAGUACCGGGAGAAUAAGCUCCGGCUAACUCCGUG